GGAGUCUAAAAGGAGGAGGCGAAUCGAACGCAAAAAUUAUGGGCCCAGUUUUUGAGAUCUAAAUGAAGUUCGAAAAUCGCCGUUAGGGGCGCUUGUGAUGAUUGGGAUACUAGAAAUACACAGCUUCUUAUGGCAAGAAUAACUAUUUUGUUAUAAAUUAUAGAGCCAAGUUAAUAUUUGGGCAUAUUUUUACCAGAGUUAGCUUUUAGAAACGUGGUUUUUCUAAUUGAGCAAUGUGCGUGGCUAAAAUUGUGAAUACAAAACCUUAAAUUUGAGUUUGAAAAUGCAUACACGACCGAAGAAACAUAUAAGCUGCUAAAAUAAAUCUUCCCUAGAACUGUUGUACAAAAAAGAUAGAAGUUCCAGCAACAAAUUUAUCACCAGUUCAACCUUUGAUUUGAUGUAAACAGUAAUUGUUUCUUGAUGAGAAAUGCGAAUGAAAUAGUUUAUGGUGUGAUUGUGUUAGUGUUUUAUUAAUAGUUUUGUUGAUGCAGUUUAAAGGUUCAUAGUUUUUCAUUAAAACAUUUGAAAUUGACAUGUUUACAUGCAGUUUAGUGUGAUACCAUUUUAAUAAACAUUAAAAUCUUUCGAACUAGUAGUGGUUUUAUGGCGAUUGACAGAUUGAAUAACGAAAAU
Long non-coding RNA from Sitophilus oryzae (rice weevil), 636 nucleotides. RefSeq lists it as uncharacterized. The record is from RefSeq and is a predicted model, not a curated record. The transcript has 2 exons. NCBI's taxonomy places the organism in Eukaryota, Metazoa, Arthropoda, Insecta, Coleoptera, Curculionidae.